Molecule: transfer RNA, 77 nt
Organism: Camelus ferus (Wild Bactrian camel)
Lineage: Eukaryota; Metazoa; Chordata; Mammalia; Artiodactyla; Camelidae
Rfam family: tRNA
About the family: Transfer RNA (tRNA) molecules are approximately 80 nucleotides in length. Their secondary structure includes four short double-helical elements and three loops (D, anti-codon, and T loops).
Source: Rfam
GUGAGUAUAGCUCAGUGGUAGAGUGCAUGCUUAGCACAGCAUGCACAAGGUCCUGGGUUCAAUUCCCAGUACCUCCA